RNAcentral lists this long non-coding RNA (752 nucleotides) under Homo sapiens (human). Its description in RNAcentral is "HSALNT0327266". The record is from RNAcentral. Lineage: Eukaryota; Metazoa; Chordata; Mammalia; Primates; Hominidae.
AGCACACGUACAUCUGUCUUAACGAAAUGGCAUCAUGUGGCAGGCACAGAAGCGAUGGCAGGAGAAGAUGAAGGGCCUGCUGGAGGAGUGAACACAUCCCACAUUUCUUUAUCCAUGAUUAGAAUCAGGACCGGCACUUGGUACUCAGUAAGCGCCAAGAUUUUCUUGGACAAAUUCAAGGUCUUCUCUCAAUUGUGGUCGGAACUGGACAUUCCCACGAGGACAGUUUCCACUUCCAGUAAUGGCUGAGGAGGUCCUAUUGCAAAUAAUAAUGAGAAACUCUGGACCAAGUAUUUUAGAACCACCACCUGAAAGUAUUGGAGAGUAAGUAAGAGCAGGAUUCCCUCCUGGGCUGUACGGUUUCUGUUGAGAAGUCUGUUGCCAGAUGAAUUGACACUCCUUUAUAUGUUAUUUACUUGUUUUCUCAUGCUGCUUUUAGAAUUUUCUAUUUGUUCUUGACCUUUGAAAAUUUGAUUAUUAUAUGCCCUGGGUUAGUCUUACUUGGAUCAAAUCUGUUUGGUGUUCUUUGACCUUCCUGUACCUGGAUAUGUAUACCUUCCUCAAGUUUUGGGAAUUUUUCUGUUAUUAUAUCUCUAAAAAGCUUUCUACCCCUUGCUGUUGCUCAACUUCCUCUUGAACACCAAUAGUUCUUAGAUUUGACCUUUUGAGUUAAUUUUCUAUAUUUUGUAGGUGACCUUUUAUGUCGUUUUUGUUACUAAACAUAACGUUUGUGAGAUUCAUCCAUAUUGUGC